UCGUGCUAGAUGGGGAGACAGCGGUGCCCUGUAACCUGCAAUCCGCUAUAGCAGGAUCGAAUGCCAUGGCGAGGCUUAUGCUGGAUUUGAUUCUUGAAUUAAGUGACGUUGAAGCUUCAUCCUAUUGGAGUUACUUUUAACUGAAUCCCGUCAGGCCCGGAAGGGAGCAGCGGUACGUUUUUAAGCAAUAAGCCGAUGGGUGCUGGAGUGGAGUUUACUGGUUUACAGCUUUAAAUUUCAGGUAAGUCAAACUAUGGCGCACGA
Molecule: signal recognition particle RNA, 264 nt
Filed under: Fidelibacterota bacterium
Lineage: Bacteria; Pseudomonadati; Fidelibacterota
Description: signal recognition particle sRNA large type
Rfam family: Bacterial large signal recognition particle RNA
About the family: The signal recognition particle (SRP) is a universally conserved ribonucleoprotein involved in the co-translational targeting of proteins to membranes. Archaeal SRP consists of a 7S RNA and homologues of the eukaryotic SRP19 and SRP54 proteins. In most bacteria, the SRP consists of a 4.5S RNA and the Ffh protein (a homologue of the eukaryotic SRP54 protein).
Source: RNAcentral